Molecule: unclassified non-coding RNA, 357 nt
Filed under: Hevea brasiliensis (rubber tree)
Lineage: Eukaryota; Viridiplantae; Streptophyta; Magnoliopsida; Malpighiales; Euphorbiaceae
Source: RNAcentral
CGACCAUACUCAGCAAUAGAUAAAAGCCCACCAGCAUUCUCGUCAUACAUGUAAACAGUUAUUGGCAUCUUCAGAACAUGUGAAGCCAUGAACAACUCAGGCUCACCCCCCCAUAUCCUCAUAUGUGCCACAUAGGUGUCAAAAUCACCUUCCACAAACCAUUCUGUCUCUUGCCUCCUCUUGAUAAACUCAUCAGCAACUCUAGCCCGCAAGUCAUCACUCUGAAGACCUUCACUUGGAGCUGGUUUUCCAGCACGUAAAUAAGCCCCAUGAGCCACAGAGCGGAACAAACACCUUCCAUCUCCUGGUAUUCCAGUAAUGGAAUAGUCAGUAUAGACUUUCUUCCCAUGCGACAAU